Molecule: long non-coding RNA, 617 nt
Organism: Rhipicephalus sanguineus (brown dog tick)
Lineage: Eukaryota; Metazoa; Arthropoda; Arachnida; Ixodida; Ixodidae
Exons: 4
Source: RefSeq, a predicted model, not a curated record
AAAGUUUCGAUGUAGAUAGGUAGCGUCAUGACUACGCUACGACAAGUCUCAUCGGGACGAAUAUAGCUUCGCCGUCCAGCACCGAAGAGAACCUGACCCUGGCUUGCGAGUCCUGGAAAACUUCCGUCGCCGAGAAAGCGUCGCUACAGCCGGAGCCAAAGGAUGAAUUAGUGUGAUUGCGCCAAAUGCCGGUGUCCAAAGGGAGCAAGCAAUUGUCACCUCCUUGGCAACAAGUGUGAUUGCAUCAAUGGGGAGUACUACCUGCGUGAUUCAGACCAAUGUGUCCAUGAUGCGGAGGACUGUGAGCUUGUGAACCCUGUAAGUGAAUGCGCCAAGUGCCGGUGUCCAAAUGGAGCAAGCAAUUGUCGAGUCUUUGGCAACAAGUGUGACUGCAUCGAUGGGGAGUACUACCUGCCUGAUUCAGACCAAUGCGUCCGUAAUGCGGACGACUGCAAGUUUGUCAACCCCAUAAGUAAAUGCGCCAAGUGCAAGUGUCCAGUUGGAGUAAGCAAGUGUAACCUCUUCGGCAACGACUGUGAUUGCAUCGAUGGGGAGUUCUACCUGCGUGAUUCAGACCAAUGCGUCCAUGAUGCGAAAGACUGUGAGCAUGUCAGCCC